RNAcentral lists this long non-coding RNA (1438 nucleotides) under Ornithorhynchus anatinus (platypus). RNAcentral's name for it is "lncRNA (ENSOANG00000049415.1)". Lineage: Eukaryota; Metazoa; Chordata; Mammalia; Monotremata; Ornithorhynchidae. The record is from RNAcentral.
CUCUCAAGGCUCACCCGCCUCACGGAAGCAUAGGCUGUCUGACUUUAUGAAGAAAAGAAAGAUUUUACUUUGCCUCUCUUGCCCCUUCCCCUUCCCAGCUGCUAAACCCCCUGGUGCAAGGGGUGGGGAGAGAAGAACGAAGAGGAAAUCACUGGGUCAAGUUUCCUUUGCUCCUCCUUCGGUGGUGAGCUGACUGCCCUUUCUAAACUUGAUCUCUCCUGCCAUGGGCAAAGAAGGCCAGCAGGUCUUGCAGGUCCCCGAGGAGUCCGAAACAGACUAGAUUUAUGGCUGAGAAGUCUGCGAGUCACAACUUCACACUCCUUCCGCUGCUACAGCCGACGGACCUUCUCAGAAGCAAUCGCUCCGUCGGGCGACAAUCCCCCGUCAGAUAGCGGCGAGACGCCAGAAACCAGGAGCCGGACGGCGGAGCGGCAGCCCGGAGCUCAGUGACAUUGAGGUUGCCUGACGCGGCAAUUUCCAGUCUGGAAGACCGACUGUCACCUCGGCCUGCUGUGACCUGCGGGGAUCCGCCAGGGCCGCAGAAGCUGGCAGACUGCUGAGCUCUCUCAAGCCAGCAGGCCUUGGCUGCCUCCCUUCCCCACCAGCCUCCCUCCCCCAGCCCACCCCAUCCCCCACGGGGCCAGCCUCCCUGCCAGCCUGGUGAUUUAAAGUCACGGUCAUUGUCUGACAACCUCCGCUUCCGGGAGGAGAGCUGACCUUGUCGCCGCUCCUCCUCAUUGAUUUGCUCCAUAAAUGCUUCGUAUUUAUUGGCACAUGUUUUCUGCGUGUCCUCGGAACCCGCGAAGCCACCUGUCGGGCCGGGAUUGAUGAAGGUCGUCGUCUACACGGGGGGAUUAGCCUUGAUGGGAACUUGCCCUUUCUUUAACGAGAGAGUCUCGCUGCUAAUUUGGGGGGGGGGGGGGGAUAUCUGUAUCUCGUAGAUUUCUUGGCAAUUACUGAGCAUUUUACAUCCUUAAAGCAGUUUCCAUCCACUUCUCACAGUUAGGCGGUAACGGUCCCUCCCUCCCCGAACACAGCCUGAGUCAUCUCGUCGUCUCCGCCAGGCAAGAGGGUUGGUCAUUUUUCCUUCCUGCAAUCCACCCGUCAGGCCUGCCGGAGACAGACAGUGCCCACGGCUCUGCCCGGCCGUCCUCCCUCUCAGCUCUCUAGGAUGCGUGAGGGAAGUCACCCUGUCUGUUCGCUGAGGGGAAAAAGCAGCACCAGAAGAAAUCGUCCUCGUACUCUGCCCCCGCCUCCCUUCGUCACUCAUGAGAGGAUACGGGGCUCAGCUCCAGCCCUGCUGUGAGUCAGAAACACAAACGGUCCCAGAGCCACAGUGACUGCUCUUUGAGCAUCUGGGCCAGAUUUCUGAUCCACCACACUGAGUCUAAUGCUCCAAAAUAAAGGGUGCCAUUCCUCCCUCCCCUCAAGAACCAGA